AGAGUUUGAUCAUGGCUCAGAAUCAACGCUGGCGGCGUGCUUUACACAUGCAAGUCGAGCGAGGCCAGGUAGCAAUACCUGAGUCGAGCGGCGAACGGGUGAGUAACACGUGGAUAACCUACCCUGAGGUGGGGAACAACCAGGGGAAACUCUGGCUGAUACCGCAUGAUACCGAAAGGUCAAAGGGGGCUCGCAAGGGCUCUCGCCACAGGAGGGGUCCGCGUCCGAUUAGCUAGUUGGUAGGGUAAUGGCCUACCAAGGCGACGAUCGGUAGCCGGCCUGAGAGGGUGAUCGGCCACACUGGAACUGAGACACGGUCCAGACUCCUACGGGAGGCAGCAGUGGGGAAUUUUGCGCAAUGGGCUAACGCCUGACGCAGCAACGCCGCGUGGAGGAUGAAGGUCUUUGGAUUGUAAACUCCUGUCAGCAGGGAAAAAGCGAUGAGGCCUCAUACGUCUCAGAGUUGAUUGUACCUGCAGAGGAAGCCCCGGCUAACUCUGUGCCAGCCGCCGCGGUAAUUC
Molecule: ribosomal RNA, 521 nt
Filed under: uncultured bacterium
Lineage: Bacteria
Description: bacterial SSU rRNA
Rfam family: Bacterial small subunit ribosomal RNA
Source: RNAcentral